GACGAACGCUGGCGGCGUGCUUAACACAUGCAAGUCGUACGGUAAGGCCCUUUCGGGGGUACACGAGUGGCGAACGGGUGAGUAACACGUGAGUAACCUGCCCACAACUUUGGGAUAACGCUAGGAAACUGGUGCUAAUACUGAUAUGUGCUCCUGCUGCAUGGUGGGGGUUGGAAAGCUCCGGCGGUUGUGGAUGGACUCGCGGCCUAUCAGCUUGUUGGUGGGGUAGUGGCCUACCAAGGCGGCGACGGGUAGCCGGCCUGAGAGGGUGACCGGCCACAUUGGGACUGAGAUACGGCCCAGACUCCUACGGGAGGCAGCAGUGGGGAAUAUUGCACAAUGGGCGCAAGCCUGAUGCAGCAACGCCGCGUGCGGGAUGACGGCCUUCGGGUUGUAAACCGCUUUCAGCAGGGACGAAGCUUUUUGUGACGGUACCUGCAGAAGAAGCACCGGCUAACUACGUG
This 464-nucleotide ribosomal RNA is filed under the name uncultured bacterium. Its description in RNAcentral is "partial 16S ribosomal RNA". It matches the Rfam family "Bacterial small subunit ribosomal RNA", at positions 28 to 507 of the family's 1533-position model. The record is from RNAcentral.